This 345-nucleotide unclassified non-coding RNA is filed under the name soil metagenome. Its description in RNAcentral is "partial contains 5.8S ribosomal RNA, internal transcribed spacer 2, and large subunit ribosomal RNA". The stretch from base 1 to 120 matches the Rfam family "5.8S ribosomal RNA", at positions 35 to 154 of the family's 154-position model. The record is from RNAcentral.
GAUGAAGAACGUAGCGAAAUGUGAUACGUAAUGUGAAUUGCAGAAUUCAGUGAAUCAUCGAGUCUUUGAACGCACAUUGCGCCCCCUGGUAUUCCGGGGGGCAUGCCUGUCCGAGCGUCAUUGCUGCCCUCAAGCACGGCUUGUGUGUUGGGCCUCCGUCCUCCUCCCGGGGGACGGGCCCGAAAGGCAGCGGCGGCACCGCGUCCGGUUCUCGAGCGUAUGGGGCUUCGUCACCCGCUCUUGUAGGCCCGGCCGGCGCUUGCCGACACAUCAAUCUUUUUUCCAGGUUGACCUCGGAUCAGGUAGGGAUACCCGCUGAACUUAAGCAUAUCAAUAAGCGGAGGA